GGGAUAGAAUUCCAGGAGUAGCGGUGAAAUGCGUAGAUAUCUGGAGGAAUACCAAAGGCGAAGGCAGUCCCCUGGUCCGAUACUGACACUGAGGUACGAAAGCGUGGGGAGCAAACAGGAUUAGAUACCCUGGUAGUCCACGCCCUAAACGAUGUCGAUUAGCCAUUGGAAGGACCCCUUUUCCUUUCAGUGACGUAGCUAACGCGUUAAAUCGACCGCCUGGGAAGUACGACCGCAAGGUUWAAACUCAAAGGAAUUGACGGGGACCUGAACAAGCGGUGAAUGAUGUGGAUUAAUUCGAUGCUACGCGAAGAACCUUACCUACCUUUGACAUGGCCAAAGUUCUACCGAGAGGCGGAAGUACUCGUAAGAGGAUUGGCGCACAGGUGCUGCAUGGUUGUCGUCAGUUCGUGUCGUGAGAUGUUGGGUUCAGUCCCGCAACGAACGCAACCCUUAUCUUUAAUUGCUCCUAUUUUAACAGGCACUUUAAAGAAACUGCCAAUGAUAAGUUGGAGGAAGGUGGGGAUCACGUCAAGUCCGCAUGGCCUUUAUAGGUAGGGCUUCACACGUCAUACAAUGGUUAGAACAAAGAGCUGCAAAUUCGUAAGAAGGAGCCAAUCUCACAAACCUAACCUCAGUUCGAAUUGCGGUCUGCAACUCGAGCGCAUGAAAGCCGGAAUUGGUUAGUAAUCGUGGAUCAGAAUGCCACGGUGAAUACGUUCUUAGGUCUU
RNAcentral lists this ribosomal RNA (731 nucleotides) under Candidatus Tremblayella phenacoccinincola. RNAcentral describes it as "bacterial SSU rRNA". It matches the Rfam family "Bacterial small subunit ribosomal RNA", at positions 658 to 1382 of the family's 1533-position model. Lineage: Bacteria; Pseudomonadati; Pseudomonadota; Betaproteobacteria. The record is from RNAcentral.